CAAUAGCGUAUAUUAAAGUUGUUGCAGUUAAAAAGCUCGUAGUUGGAUUUCGGGGCAGCCUGGCUGGUCCGCCGCAAGGCGAGUACUGGUCAGCCGCCCUUCCUCUCGAAAGCCCCGACCGCUCUUCGUUGCAGUGGUCGGGUAGUUCGGGACGUUUACUUUGAAAAAAUUAGAGUGUUCAAGGCAGGCCUACGCCUGAAUACAUUAGCAUGGAAUAAUGGAAGAGGACCUCGGUCCUAUUUUGUUGGUUUCCAGGGCCGAAGUAAUGAUUAAGAGGGACAGUUGGGGGCAUUCGUAUUUAAUUGUCAGAGGUGAAAUUCUCGGAUUUAUGAAAGACGAACAACUGCGAAAGCAUUUGCCAAGGAUGUUUUCAUUAA
RNAcentral lists this ribosomal RNA (377 nucleotides) under uncultured eukaryote. Its description in RNAcentral is "partial 18S ribosomal RNA". It matches the Rfam family "Eukaryotic small subunit ribosomal RNA", at positions 592 to 976 of the family's 1831-position model. The record is from RNAcentral.